This 789-nucleotide long non-coding RNA is filed under the name Vigna radiata. Its description in RNAcentral is "long non-coding RNA (VRAD_LNC008924)". Lineage: Eukaryota; Viridiplantae; Streptophyta; Magnoliopsida; Fabales; Fabaceae. The record is from RNAcentral.
CACAUCCGAUUGUCUACAUCGGAUAUGGAUGAUUGAGCCACUGACAUGGACUGAAGCCAUUUUGGACAACAUAUUGUUGUGUUUCAAGUAGCGGGGUUUUAAUUGUAGAAGCAAAAAGAGGGUAAAGGUAGUGGAGCUUGACCAUUUGGGAUUUUUCCCAAUGCUCUCAACCCUCGACAUAGGGUUCCAGUAGAGAGCAGAAGAAGAAAAGCAACUAUGCGAGCUCAAUGGGUCACUUUGGAAGAAGACCAUAAGCUUCGCGGCCCAAAAGGGAGAUGUUCCAAAAGGAUGAUCGGACCAAGAAGCAGAUCAGAAGGAAGACAAAGCUGAUCCAAGGGCUAAGGAUAAGAAGGCAGUUAACUUAGUGAGUUAAUUGAAGAGGAAGAAUCAAGAAGUUUUGGUCGUUACUAGGUUCUUCUCCUUUUUCUCGUUUUCCCAUUUUAAGUUUCUAACUUUCCCUAUAUAAAGGGAAGUCUUGUGAUGUAGCGAUGUACAACAGUUUUGUUGUAGGUGACAGACACCACGCUUAUGUUUCGACUUGUGAUUCAGUUUUCAAAUUCUUGCUUUAGUUUUAGAUUUUAAGCUUUCUUAAAGAGUAGAAACUUUGAUCCUUGCGUUGGAGUUCUUGGAGCUUUCCAUUGGGUGACAAACAAUGGAUUCUUAGGACUUUGGUAUUUUGUAAUUAUGAGUUUAGCUUUCAAUAAAGCACGUUUAUGUUUCAUAUUUGAUUCACUUAAGAUUUGUUCGUCAAUUUGCCAUUUUUGAUCCAUUUCCGUUUCUGUACUUGCA